UACGGAGGAUGCAAGCGUUAUCCGGAAUGAUUGGGCGUAAAGCGUCCGCAGGUGGCUAUGUAAGUCUGCUGUUAAAGAGUGAGGCUCAACCUCAUAAGAGCAGUGGAAACUACAUGGCUAGAGUGCGUUCGGGGCAGAGGGAAUUCCUGGUGUAGCGGCGAAAUGCGUAGAGAUCAGGAAGAACACCGGUGGCGAAAGCGCUCUGCUAGGCCGCAACUGACACUGAGGGACGAAAGCUAGGGGAGCGAAUGGG
RNAcentral lists this ribosomal RNA (253 nucleotides) under uncultured bacterium. Its description in RNAcentral is "partial 16S ribosomal RNA". It matches the Rfam family "Bacterial small subunit ribosomal RNA", at positions 524 to 776 of the family's 1533-position model. The record is from RNAcentral.